RNAcentral lists this ribosomal RNA (470 nucleotides) under uncultured bacterium. RNAcentral's name for it is "bacterial SSU rRNA". It matches the Rfam family "Bacterial small subunit ribosomal RNA", at positions 19 to 473 of the family's 1533-position model. The record is from RNAcentral.
CUGCCUCAGAACGAACGCUGGCGGCGUGCUUACACAUGCAAGUCGAACGAGAAAGUCUCUUCGGAGAUGAGUAAAGUGGCGAACGGGUGAGUAACACGUAGGUAACCUGCCUCCAAGACCGGGAUAACCUGUUGAAAGAUGGACUAAUACCGGAUAAGACCACAGGGGCUUCGGCCCUAGUGGCCAAAGGGUGGCCACUGCAUGCAAGCUAUUGCUUGGAGAUGGGCCUGCGGACCAUUAGCUAGUUGGUAGGGUAACGGCCUACCAAGGCAAAGAUGGUUAGCUGGUCUGAGAGGAUGAUCAGCCACACUGGGACUGAGACACGGCCCAGACUCCUACGGGAGGCAGCAGUGGGGAAUCUUGGGCAAUGGGCGAAAGCCUGACCCAGACAACGCCGCGUGGGUGAUGAAGGCCCUCGGGUCGUAAAGCCCUGUCGGGAGGAACGAAUUCUACCUGGGGGUUAAAUACCC